Molecule: ribosomal RNA, 506 nt
Filed under: Tylochromis polylepis
Lineage: Eukaryota; Metazoa; Chordata; Actinopteri; Cichliformes; Cichlidae
Description: partial 16S ribosomal RNA
Rfam family: Bacterial large subunit ribosomal RNA
Source: RNAcentral
CCGCCUGCCCUGUGACUAUAAGUUUAACGGCCGCGGUAUUUUGACCGUGCAAAGGUAGCGCAAUCACUUGUCUUUUAAAUGAAGACCUGUAUGAAUGGCACAACGAGGGCUUAACUGUCUCCUUUUUCCAGUCAAUGAAAUUGAUCCCCCCGUGCAGAAGCGGGGAUGCCCACAUAAGACGAGAAGACCCUAUGGAGCUUUAGACACCAGAAUAGACCACGUUAAGCACCCUAAGUUAAAGAAUAAAACCAAUUGGCCCCUAUUCCAAUGUCUUUGGUUGGGGCGACCGUGGGGAAACAAAAAACCCCCACAUGGACUGAGAACACCAAGUUCCUACAAUCCAGAGCUACAACUCCAAACAACAGAAUUUCUGACCAAAAAGAUCCGGCACAGCCGAUCAACGGACCAAGUUACCCUAGGGAUAACAGCGCAAUCCUCUUUUAGAGACCAUAUCGACAAGAGGGUUUACGACCUCGAUGUUGGAUCAGGACAUCCUAUUGGUGCAA